GAUGAACGCUGGCGGCGUGCCUAAUACAUGCAAGUCGAGCGAACAGACGAGGAGCUUGCUCCUCUGACGUUAGCGGCGGACGGGGGAGUAACACGUGGAUAACCUACCUAUAAGACUGGGAUAACUUCGGGAAACCGGAGCUAAUACCGGAUAAUAUAUUGAACCGCAUGGUUCAAUAGUGAAAGACGGUUUUGCUGUCACUUAUAGAUGGAUCCGCGCCGCAUUAGCUAGUUGGUAAGGUAACGGCUUACCAAGGCAACGAUGCGUAGCCGACCUGAGAGGGUGAUCGGCCACACUGGAACUGAGACACGGUCCAGACUCCUACGGGAGGCAGCAGUAGGGAAUCUUACGCAAUGGGCGAGAGCCUGACGGAGCAACGCCGCGUGAGUGAUGAAGGUCUUCGGAUCGUAAAACUCUGUUAUUAGGGAAGAACAAAUGUGUAAGUAACUAUGCACGUCUUGACGGUACCUAAUCAGAAAGCCACGGCUAACUACGUG
RNAcentral lists this ribosomal RNA (497 nucleotides) under uncultured bacterium. RNAcentral describes it as "partial 16S ribosomal RNA". It matches the Rfam family "Bacterial small subunit ribosomal RNA", at positions 28 to 507 of the family's 1533-position model. The record is from RNAcentral.